RNAcentral lists this ribosomal RNA (465 nucleotides) under Vreelandella stevensii. RNAcentral's name for it is "partial 16S ribosomal RNA". It matches the Rfam family "Bacterial small subunit ribosomal RNA", at positions 338 to 795 of the family's 1533-position model. Lineage: Bacteria; Pseudomonadati; Pseudomonadota; Gammaproteobacteria; Oceanospirillales; Halomonadaceae. The record is from RNAcentral.
CCUACGGGUGGCAGCAGUGGGGAAUAUUGGACAAUGGGCGAAAGCCUGAUCCAGCCAUGCCGCGUGUGUGAAGAAGGCCUUCGGGUUGUAAAGCACUUUCAGUGGGGAAGAAAGCCUUGGGGCUAAUACCCUCGAGGAAGGACAUCACCCACAGAAGAAGCACCGGCUAACUCCGUGCCAGCAGCCGCGGUAAUACGGAGGGUGCGAGCGUUAAUCGGAAUUACUGGGCGUAACGCGCGCGUAGGCGGUCUGAUAAGCCGGUUGUGAAAGCCCCGGGCUCAACCUGGGAACGGCAUCCGGAACUGUCAGGCUAGAGUGCAGGAGAGGAAGGUAGAAUUCCCGGUGUAGCGGUGAAAUGCGUAGAGAUCGGGAGGAAUACCAGUGGCGAAGGCGGCCUUCUGGACUGACACUGACGCUGAGGUGCGAAAGCGUGGGUAGCAAACAGGAUUAGAUACCCGGGUAGUC